Molecule: long non-coding RNA, 435 nt
Organism: Oxyura jamaicensis (ruddy duck)
Lineage: Eukaryota; Metazoa; Chordata; Aves; Anseriformes; Anatidae
Exons: 3
Source: RefSeq, a predicted model, not a curated record
UCACGUUUUCCAGUGUAUGUACAUAGACAUCCUGUCAAAGGUCCGUGUUUCUUACGCUAGAGAUAAAUUUCUGUCACCCUAAUCACUCUUUUUGUUUUGGAAAGGAUCAAAAAGCAUAUCAAAUUACCGGUGCGUCCAACCAAACUGAUCUUAUCCUUGCCGGGAGCGAUGAUCACAGGCAGAUGAUCUUAUCCUUCUUUCAACUGCAGAAUCUAAUGGAGCAACCCCAAUGGAUUUUUAAGCAUGGCCAUCCCUUUCUGGGCCCAGGCUGUGAACCAGUCCAGCCGUGGUUGCAGCCAGCUGAUACUCCUUCCCCAGAGGAUGGUUCCAGAAUAUGCCGGACAGAAAAAGGAUGUGGACACCUGACCUUAGUGAGGUUAAGAGGAAGAUCCCUGACUGAAUUCCCAAAGAUCUGGAGCUUACCCUCAUUGUCCA